Molecule: ribosomal RNA, 253 nt
Filed under: uncultured bacterium
Lineage: Bacteria
Description: partial 16S ribosomal RNA
Rfam family: Bacterial small subunit ribosomal RNA
Source: RNAcentral
UACGGGGGGAGCAAGCGUUGUUCGGAUUUACUGGGCGUAAAGGGCGCGUAGGCGGCGUAACAAGUCACUUGUGAAAUCUCCGGGCUUAACUCGGAGCGGCCAAGUGAUACUGUUGUGCUAGAGUGCGGAAGGGGCUACUGGAAUUCUCGGUGUAGCGGUGAAAUGCGUAGAUAUCUGGAGGAACACCGGUGGCGAAGGCGGCAUCCUGGACCAACAAUGACACUGAGGAGCGAAAGCCAGGGGAGCAAACGGG